RNAcentral lists this ribosomal RNA (466 nucleotides) under uncultured Nitrosomonas sp. RNAcentral's name for it is "bacterial SSU rRNA". It matches the Rfam family "Bacterial small subunit ribosomal RNA", at positions 198 to 645 of the family's 1533-position model. Lineage: Bacteria; Pseudomonadati; Pseudomonadota; Betaproteobacteria; Nitrosomonadales; Nitrosomonadaceae. The record is from RNAcentral.
GGAGUAAAGCAGGGGAUCGAAAGACCUCAUGCUUUUGGAGCGGCCGAUGUCUGAUUAGCUAGUUGGUAAGGUAAUGGCUUACCAAGGCAACGAUCAGUAGUUGGUCUGAGAGGACGACCAGCCACACUGGGACUGAGACACGGCCCAGACUCCUACGGGAGGCAGCAGUGGGGAAUUUUGGACAAUGGGCGCAAGCCUGAUCCAGCAAUGCCGCGUGAGUGAAGAAGGCCUUCGGGUUGUAAAGCUCUUUCAGUUGAGAAGAAAAAAUUCUGGCUAAUACGCAGAAUUCAUGACGGUAUCGACAGAAGAAGCACCGGCUAACUACGUGCCAGCAGCCGCGGUAAUACGUAGGGUGCAAGCGUUAAUCGGAAUUACUGGGCGUAAAGGGUGCGCAGGUGGUUUUGUAAGUCAGAUGUGAAAUCCCCGGGCUUAACCUGGGAAUUGCGUUUGAAACUACAAAGCUAGA